This is a long non-coding RNA of Daphnia pulex (common water flea), 836 nucleotides long. RefSeq lists it as uncharacterized. Lineage: Eukaryota; Metazoa; Arthropoda; Branchiopoda; Diplostraca; Daphniidae. The record is from RefSeq and is a predicted model, not a curated record. The transcript is spliced from 2 exons.
AGCAAAAUAAUGCUGCCACUCAAGAGGUUGUGGUGAGUGGUGACCACCACUUAGUUCUAAUUUAGGACAAUGUAACAUUGAUAGAUUUGAGGGCGAGAUUCUCACGACCAUUAUAGUUGUUUGGAAACUGACAGCACUAACCAACGCUCACCGGUGGACACUCACCCACUGGGAUAAUCAGGAGGAUGAGUAGGGCUCUGAUGCACUAUACAUGUACUUCCUCUGCGACGUCUAAUUGUUUCCUAGCUUAAAUGGCUUCACACCCACUUCCGCUGUGACACACCUGUAGUCACUCAGCACUCACCACGGGAUUGUGCCCAGAUCAGAUACCCACAAGUUAACUUAUUUUUGUUUAUUAUCUACUGAUAACCUACUAGCUUUAAACUCAGUGAUUAAUAAUUCUUAAAUUUAGGUUUUUCUUGCGAGUCGCUAACGAAGUGUUGCGAGUUUACGAGAGGAAUGAAAUAGCUGUUGCAAUGUCACUUUCUCGUCUUAUAAAGGACCCACUAGAGACUUUGGAAUCUGGGGCUUAACAUCUGGAGUAAAAAUCAGAUUGAAUGAAAAAUCUGUUUAAUUGAUCCAUUCAUAAAAUUGGCCUAGUAAGCCGAAGUCCUGAUGGAUUUGGUCUUUGAAUUGUUUUUAUUAAUGGUAAUGGCUUGCUGGCUAGGGAACUGAAGAGAACAUUUGGCGGCCAGAUUUGCCAGUUGUUGGAGCGUAGUGGAAGUAAGCUAGCCCCUUAAUUUAUCUUCUUCUAAGUUCUAGUCUUCUUGGUUCCCCCUUCCCUGUUUAGUUGAAGUGUAGGUUCUGAAAAUAAAAGCCGUCAUUAUUUAUUUGAA